Molecule: ribosomal RNA, 376 nt
Filed under: uncultured organism
Description: partial 16S ribosomal RNA
Rfam family: Bacterial small subunit ribosomal RNA
Source: RNAcentral
GUAGGUGGCAAGCGUUGUCCGGAAUUAUUGGGCGUAAAGCGCGCGCAGGCGGUCCUUUAAGUCUGAUGUGAAAGCCCACGGCUCAACCGUGGAGGGUCAUUGGAAACUGGGGGACUUGAGUACAGAAGAGGAAAGCGGAAUUCCAAGUGUAGCGGUGAAAUGCGUAGAGAUUUGGAGGAACACCAGUGGCGAAGGCGGCUUUCCGGUCUGUAACUGACGCUGAGGCGCGAAAGCGUGGGGAGCAAACAGGAUUAGAUACCCUGGUAGUCCACGCCGUAAACGAUGAGUGCUAAGUGUUAGGGGGUUUCCCGCCCCCCUUAGUGCUGCAGCUAACGCAUUAAGCACUCCGCCUGGGGGAGUACGGCCCGCAAGGCUG